UACGUAGGUGGCGAACGUUGUCCGGAUUUACUGGGCGUAAAGCGCGCGCAGGCGGACCGAUAAGUCAGAGGUGAAAUCUCCCGGCUCAACUGGGAGGGGCCCUUUGAUACUGUCGGUCUUGAGAUGCCUAGAGGAGAGUGGAAUUCCCGGUGUAGUGGUGGAAUGCGUAGAUAUCGGGAGGAACACCAGUGGCGAAGGCGGUUCUCUGGGACGGUACUGACGCUGAGACGCGAAAGCGUGGGGAGCGAACAGG
RNAcentral lists this ribosomal RNA (253 nucleotides) under uncultured bacterium. RNAcentral's name for it is "partial 16S ribosomal RNA". It matches the Rfam family "Bacterial small subunit ribosomal RNA", at positions 524 to 776 of the family's 1533-position model. The record is from RNAcentral.